This 551-nucleotide unclassified non-coding RNA is filed under the name Pseudogymnoascus sp. P31.2. RNAcentral's name for it is "sequence contains ITS1, 5.8S rRNA gene, ITS2". The stretch from base 199 to 352 matches the Rfam family "5.8S ribosomal RNA". Lineage: Eukaryota; Fungi; Ascomycota; Leotiomycetes; Thelebolales; Thelebolaceae. The record is from RNAcentral.
GCUGUAAGUACUGCGGAAGACAUUACAGUAGUCGCCCGGGUUGCCGCAAGGCCUCCCGGGUAACCUACCACCCUUUGUUUAUCACACUUUGUUGCUUUGGCAGGCCUGCCCUCGGGCUGCUGGCUCCGGCCGGCGAGCGCCUGCCAGAGGACCUAAACUCUGUUUGUCUAUACUGUCUGAGUACUAUAUAAUAGUUAAAACUUUCAACAACGGAUCUCUUGGUUCUGGCAUCGAUGAAGAACGCAGCGAAAUGCGAUAAGUAAUGUGAAUUGCAGAAUUCAGUGAAUCAUCGAAUCUUUGAACGCACAUUGCGCCCCCUGGUAUUCCGGGGGGCAUGCCUGUCCGAGCGUCAUUACAACCCUCAAGCUCAGCUUGGUGUUGGGCCCCGCCGCCCCGGCGGGCCCUAAAGUCAGUGGCGGUGCCGUCCGGCUCCGAGCGUAGUAAUUCUUCUCGCUCUGGAGGCCCGGUCGCGUGCCCGCCAGCAACCCCCAAUUUUUUUCAGGUUGACCUCGGAUCAGGUAGGGAUACCCGCUGAACUUAAGCAUAUCAUA